AGGGCAAGUGACGAGAUGAGAUGAGUCGAGAGAUUUAAUUUUCUCUCCCCACGCAUGCAUGCGUCUGUGCUCCAAAGCCAAAGGUCAACCUAUAUGACAUCGCCAACGCUUCUUCCAAAAUUUUGCUGUAGCAAACUAAUGUGUCGGCAAGACAUCACUUUUCAGUGGCUCCGAUUUUUCUAAAUUACUUGAUUCAAUGCAAGAGGAACUUAUCUGGAAAAGAAUUUUUCUGUGGCUCACCGCUCACGAUACAAUGCAAGAGGAGGGAGAGCCAGCAAUUCCUUUUCUGUUCACACGCUAGCUAGCUAGGCAGAAGCUACAUUAUACUGCAUAUGUCAUCAUUUCUGCCAUCACACGCUAGCUAGCUAGGCAGAGAAGAGAACUUGCAGUGAGCAACAAUGGAGAGAUUUCUGGUGAGCGCGUCCACGGGUCAAUGAAGAGAACUUGCCUCCAUUGUUGGAUAUGGGGGGUUAGGAAAAACGACGCUUGCCAAACAAGUCUAUGACAAGCUUGGAACAAACUACGAAUGUCGGGCCUUUGUGUCAAUUUCACGUAGUCCUGAUAUGGUGAGGAUCCUGAGUUGAUCUAUAUUGGCUCAACUACGCAACCAGGAGUACGUUCACGCAGAUGCAGGGGAUGAACAACACAUCAUCUACCAAAUCAGAAACUUCCUAAGCAAUAAAAGGGUAUGAUGGAAAGGCACUGUAUUGCCGAGUCCAUGACACCGUCCUGGAUUUCCUCAUUUACAAAUCUACCGAAGAGAACUUCUGUACCUUGUUAAGCAAUAAUCCUAAGGGAGAUAGCAGAGUUCGACGGCUGUAUAUGAUGAGAAAUGAAGAUCAAGGAAAGGCCGAGUAAUUGGAUUUAUCACAUGCCCGAACAAUUGGUGUUUUUGGUGAUUCCCUGGAAUAUUUUCCUUCCCUUGUAAAGUCAAAUGCUCUUCGUGUGCUGGACAUAGCUUGUUGCCUUGGACUAGGAAAUCAUCAUGUCAAAGAUGUUGGAAAACUUUUUCAACUUAGGUACUUGAACAUCAGUUUGACAAAGAUAACCGAGCUUCCUAGAAAAAUCGGAGACUUGGAGUAUCUAGAGAAGCUAAAUGUGUCGAGCACGGUACUAGAGCUGCCAGAAUCAAUUACUCGGCUAAAACGACUAGCACGUCUGUUCAUUUCUGUGCGAAGUACAUUGCCGGAUGGUGUUGGAAAAUUGGAGAACUUGCAAGAGCUUGGGAAUAUAGACAUCUUUUUGCAAUCAGUGAAGUUUCAUGAAGAGCUCGGCAAACUAACAAAUCUGAGGAAGCUGCGCAUCCGUUGGGACACCAGUAAACUUGACCAAGAAAGUGACAAGGGAGAAAAGCUAGUGUCAAUCCCUCUGUAAAUUGGACACAUGCAAGCUUCGCAGCCUCUAUAUCACAGUUUUUCCGAGAGAGGAAGAUGGCAGUAUAGGACAUCCAUCCUUCCCUGCUCUCAAGAGCAUCCGAGUUAUUAACCUCUGCCGUGGACAACUCUGUUGGAUUACCCAAUGGCUGGUUUCCCUUGUCAACCUAGAAGAAUUAUCUGUCCUUGAUGGGAACAUAGAGCAGAAGGAUGUUGAGAUGGUUGGGAGGAUACCUACUCUGCUCCAAUUCAGACUGUUUUCUGGCUGCGUAUGGCCCGUCAUCAUCACCGGCAGUGGCAGCUUUCAACAGUUACAGCUAGCUGAGUUUGAGUUUAAUUUGUGUGGAUUAGAAGGUACUAGGAUGAUGUAUUAAAAAGACUGCAGACUUCGUGUUUUCCACUCUAAGCAGAGAUCCGUCGCUGCUCUGUGCGAGCUGUCCUAGACGAGCUUCGUUCCUGGCAGAUUGCUAGAUGUAAAGCAGUCGCCUUCUUUAGAUAAUUGAACGCUGUUGGUUUCACAGGGUUCGCCCUCCUGAAUGUUAUCGUCCUUUCUUUCCCAUGUAUCGAUUGUAAAUAACUUUUUUUCCCCUUUUAAUA
This is an RNA transcript of Brachypodium distachyon (stiff brome), 1970 nucleotides long. RefSeq lists it as uncharacterized. Lineage: Eukaryota; Viridiplantae; Streptophyta; Magnoliopsida; Poales; Poaceae. The transcript has 2 exons. The record is from RefSeq and is a predicted model, not a curated record.